AAGGAAAAGGAGUAUGGAUAGUCGAGAGCAUUUCAAUAGCUACAAAGAACUUUGUCAACAUUUGUGUUUGGAAUUUCUGCACUUGACCAGACAGCUCCCAGACUUGGAUCACAGAAUAACAGUCAGGAAGGACUUUCAUUACAGGCACAGGCUGGGACCUAGCAGCAUCAAAGGUAACAGGCUGAUUAGUGAAGUCUAUUUCUAGGUAAUUCAGGCUGGUAUUGGAAGCCACAAUGACAUGCUAUGAGCAACCCUUUCUUGAAUUAAGAAUAUACUUUCCAACAACACUGCAGAUGACAUUAUGUGUGGUGCUUCACAACAUAUAAGAAUAUACUUCACAUAAGAAUAUGCUCCUCAACAUAUUAAGAAUAUACUUUCCAACAACACUGCAGAUGACAUAUGCGUGGUGCUUCACAACUGUGUUACUAGUUUUCUCUUUGUCUUGCUACCUGAUGUUAACAACUGAUUAAUGCUUGCCUUUAGAGUGAAUCAGAGAUGCUGGAUUUGAAUGGAUCAAUAUCAGGGAAAACAACUGAAAUAUAAAAUCCAACAUCUGAACCCUAAGACUGGCAUGUUUUAAAAUGUGUUUGCUGAUACUGUCUCAUUGCUCUGUUAUGUCUGUAUCAAGGCAUAACACCAAGAAGCUUGGUAUUAUGAGAUUAACCAAAAUGAGAUCGUUUUCUCAUUUGCACGGUUAUCACCAUCUGUCAAAUAUUUCUCCUCAAAUACUCAAAUCCUGUCUAUUUUUCUGUUUUUGAAACAUUUUACUUAGAUACCAAAAUGCUGGCCACUACACUCAAAUUGAAUUUUUGGAUUGUACUGCCAAAGAUCAGAUGAAUGUGCAUAACUGUUUAUAUUCUUCUUUUAUGUCUCUUUUCUAUGUAAUCUAAAAGUUACAGGGGUAGAGUGUUCCUUUCCAUCUUUUUUUGUAUGGUACUAGGUUCCCUAACACCUCUCAUUUCAUUUGAGGCCACUUAAAAAUAAUACAUAGUAAAUAAAUAUUAAUAAAUAGACAAGCUUUAAGAUAUAUCAAUAUAUUCUUUGUGUACCUGUGAUAUUUGUCAUGUGUUGAAAAUGUCUCAGUAGAUUGUUAUGCAGUUACUAAUCUGACAUGGUUUUAACUGAGAUGGUUUCCUUUCAUGUCCAAGCAAAUCUUCAGCUGCAGCAUUCAUGCAAAAAAAAAAAGAGCCCAGUUCAAACAUUUUUUCCAUUUUCUAUUGGCAAGUUCAUUCAAGUGCCCCUUCCAUGUAACCACAGAACGGCCUGGCUUGAAAAAGACCUUAAAGAUCAUCUACUUUCAACCCUCCUGCUCUGGGCAGCAUACAUUCGCUGCUUCUCUUAUCCUCUGAAAGUCCUGACUUCUUCAUUGAUCACCUUGGAUAGUUUGCUGACUUUUAACAUUGUCUAUAUAAAUAAGAAAACAUCCUGAAUCAGAGGUAUUUUUAUGAUUUGUAUUCAUUGUAAGUAUAUGUUUAAGGACUGGCUUGUUAAGUGUAUAAAAAGAUCUUUCUUUGGUCAAAUCUACCUAUUAAUUUCAGGUCCAGUUUCUACAGAAGUCCCACUAAAGCCUUCAGAGCAAAUCUCACAUGCUGGCAGUGCAGCUUAGCCUUGUUGUCUGCUGGCAUAACUGAAAUAAUGUAAAUUAGAAAUUUAGGAUUUCCAGGUAGUGUUCUUUAUAUGUCUAAUGCCUUUCUAAUUGGAUUAGUUCUCUUUUACUUCAUUGCACUAUGUAGAGCAGAUUUUUUUUUUGUUUGAAGGGUCAAAAAUACACUGAACUUUUCCCUUAUUAGUUUAGAACUUUAUCUCAUCUGUGUGUUCUUGCAGUUGUCAAUGAUUAAUUUUGACUGACCUGUGAAGCGUUAAAUGGACUGUAUAUUAAUGAUACACUAACUAUGGUUUAUCCUAUUAAACAUGAAAACAGAACAUAUGCACUGCAAUCAUGGUGGGCAGAAGGAGGAUAUUAAUGCACCAUGAAUUUCUUAAUAAUGGAGAGGAGAAAGAAGAGUUACUUUGAAAGGAAGGCAAAAUGUUCCUGGUGAAGGAAGCAAAGUCCCUUUCUAGGAUCUUGGGAGUGUAGCAUCAAGAGUAUAGCAUACCUGAAAUACUGGGGUCUUGCUGAAUAUGAAUAAAUACACCAGGUCAUUCACUGAUAAAGUGAUGAAAAGUUGUUCAUUUUAUAGAAAACAAUGAAAGAUGCUACAUCUGUCAGAUGCAAGGAGUGAAGGGCAUGUGAAACAAUUCUGUGGAAAAGAGGCUGCUUGGAUAAGAACAGGACAUCAUCCUUGGCUAGGUCUCUUGGAAGCUGAAGAUAAACAUAAGAUAACGGGGAUAUGAAAACAGAAAAAAUG
Non-coding RNA from Anas platyrhynchos (mallard), 2348 nucleotides. Lineage: Eukaryota; Metazoa; Chordata; Aves; Anseriformes; Anatidae. The record is from RefSeq and is a predicted model, not a curated record.